GGGAAUGUGGCUUAGUGGUAGAGUGCUUGCCUAGCAUGCAUGAAGCCCUGUCUUCAAUUCCUCAUUGCCA
RNAcentral lists this transfer RNA (70 nucleotides) under Dipodomys ordii (Ord's kangaroo rat). It matches the Rfam family "tRNA". Rfam says of the family: Transfer RNA (tRNA) molecules are approximately 80 nucleotides in length. Their secondary structure includes four short double-helical elements and three loops (D, anti-codon, and T loops). Further hydrogen bonds mediate the characteristic L-shaped molecular structure. tRNAs have two regions of fundamental functional importance: the anti-codon, which is responsible for specific mRNA codon recognition, and the 3' end, to which the tRNAs corresponding amino acid is attached (by aminoacyl-tRNA synthetases). tRNAs cope with the degeneracy of the genetic code in two manners: having more than one tRNA (with a specific anti-codon) for a particular amino acid; and 'wobble' base-pairing, i.e. permitting non-standard base-pairing at the 3rd anti-codon position. Lineage: Eukaryota; Metazoa; Chordata; Mammalia; Rodentia; Heteromyidae. The record is from Rfam by way of RNAcentral.